Molecule: RNA transcript, 859 nt
Organism: Pygocentrus nattereri (red-bellied piranha)
Lineage: Eukaryota; Metazoa; Chordata; Actinopteri; Characiformes; Serrasalmidae
Gene name: 1-phosphatidylinositol 4,5-bisphosphate phosphodiesterase delta-3-A-like
Exons: 2
Source: RefSeq, a predicted model, not a curated record
AGCAGCCAAGAUAUGACUGGGUUUAUCCGCUGAUGUGGGGGGCUGAGGGAAAGAGAAUGGGGGACGGGGGCUGUAGCCCGGAUACAGCAGCAGCAGCAGCAUUGAGCAGCAUCACUGACUGAGGCGCUCUGUUUCAGCUAAAGCUCAGAGAGCAGAGCUGGUGAGGGUCGUAAAGAAAGAGAGGGAGAGAAAGCCCCUCCUGCUGCCAUGCUGAGCUGUGAGCAGGCCCAGGCCCUCCCUCAGUCCAGAUAAAUUACCAGCAGUGGCCAAAGAGGAAAAAAUCAGUGCUGCUCUCAGUCUCGACGCGUUUAUGAGGAGAUUUCCUACAGAGAGAAAGACGAGGAGGAAAAGCGCUCGAAGAUGCUGGGCAGUGAAAAGAAGAGCAAACCUGCAGAAAAGAAGAAGAACGGAGCUGGGAUGUCCCAACACAAGACAGACGACCCCCUGGUUAAUUUAGAACUCGAUAUGUGAUACACAAACUGGUUUGGCUCAGAAGCAUGCACAGCAAUGGAGCUAAAAACAAUACAAGAAAAAGAUCAGAAGCACUCAGAUGCCAAGUUUUGAUGACUGCGGCUUCCAUGUAAGACAGUAAAUGAGAGACCCCUGGAUAGGACCACUGAAACUAUGUACUGUUUUAAAGAUUUGUCCAUACUGUACUUAAAACGGCAUUUCAUUAUCAUUAUUAUUAUUAGGCCUUAGUUAUAUUGUAAGGUAGUCUCCUCUGACAUAUCAUAGCCUGUUUUACCUAAUCUGUAAUUCUAAAAUAAUAUAAUAUCAGUGCAGAUCUGUUAAUGUGACUUUUUCACUGCCACUGUGGAAAUAUGUUGAGUGUAACGCUGCUGCUGGAAUAAAAUCUCUG